This 638-nucleotide long non-coding RNA is filed under the name Equus caballus (horse). RNAcentral describes it as "lncRNA (ENSECAG00000054470.1)". Lineage: Eukaryota; Metazoa; Chordata; Mammalia; Perissodactyla; Equidae. The record is from RNAcentral.
GUGAGCUUUCUUCAGGAGGCAAGAAUAAUGCCAAGCCCGCAUCUUUACAGCCUGCUGUCCCAAGGAAUUAAAACAAUAACAGGAGAAUGGAAUAUCAGGACAGGGAAACAAGGAAAAACAUUAUCAUAGUGGUCCAGGCUCAGAACAUCUGAAAAUCAAGAUAAAACUCUCCUUCAUAAAAUGCCCGGAAAACUGAGUGCAUUUUAAGAAACCAAAAGAUAGCAGCAAAGUCAACAUGAAACUAAAGACAGACACUUGUCUGCAAACUAACAAUAAAAUUGAAAUGGAUCCUGAGAAGAAGGAAUAAGUAAAAAGCAUCAUGUGAAAGCAACUAAAUUCUGCAUCUUCCUUACCCAGUUGAGUCAGUAUUUCCUCUUUUCCUCAAAAGAAAAGCUACUUAAGAAAAAGUUCUCAGUGGUACUUUUGCUAUUUUCAGUCAGACUGCCAGUUAGGUAUAAAUGAAAAAUGUAUUUGUUCACGUACUAUAAAUUGGGAGAGAAAUUUGGGGAUGGGAUUGGUAACCUGACAAGAGAAAAUGAAUGGGAUGAGAGAGAAGCAUUGAAACUUAACAACAGACUAUUUGUCUUGUCGCUUUAUUGUCUCCAUAUGGAGCUAUUAAAAUAGAACAGCGCAGAAAC